RNAcentral lists this ribosomal RNA (418 nucleotides) under alpha proteobacterium K-2035. RNAcentral describes it as "bacterial SSU rRNA". It matches the Rfam family "Bacterial small subunit ribosomal RNA", at positions 1103 to 1525 of the family's 1533-position model. The record is from RNAcentral. Lineage: Bacteria; Pseudomonadati; Pseudomonadota; Alphaproteobacteria.
CCUCGCCUUUAUUGCCAUCAUUUAGUUGGGUACUCUAAAGGAACCGCCGGUGAUAAGCCGGAGGAAGGUGGGGAUGACGUCAAUUCCUCAUGGCCCUUACGCGUUGGGCUACACACUUGCUACAAUGGCGACUACAGUGGGCAGCCACCUCGCGAGAGGGAGCUAAUCUCCAAAAGUCGUCUCAGUUCGGAUCGUUCUCUGCAACUCGAGAGCGUGAAGGCGGAAUCGCUAUUAAUCGCGGAUCAGCAUGCCGCGGUGAAUACGUUCCCAGGCCUUGUACACACCGCCCGUCACACCAUGGGAGUUGGAUUCACUCGAAGGCGUUGAGCUAACCGCAAGGAGGCAGGCGACCACAGUGGGUUUAGCGACUGGGGUGAAGUCGUAACAAGGUACCGUAGGGGAACCUGCGGCUGGAUCA